CCUACGGGGGGCAGCAGUGAGGAAUAUUGGUCAAUGGGCGCUAGCCUGAACCAGCCAAGUCGCGUGAGGGAUGACGGCCCUAUGGGUUGUAAACCUCUUUUGUCAGGGAGCAAAGGGCGCUACGUGUAGCGUUUUGCAAGUACCUUAAGAAAAAGGAUCGGCUAACUCCGUGCCAGCAGCCGCGGUAAUACGGAGGAUUCGAGCGUUAUCCGGAUUUAUUGGGUUUAAAGGGGGCGAAGGCGGAAUGUAAAGUCAGUGGUAAAAUUUCGGGGCUCAACCUCGUCAUGCCGUUGAUACUGGCGUUCUUGAGUGAGCGAGAAGUAUGCGGAAUGCGUGGUGUAGCGGUGAAAUGCAUAGAUAUCACGCAGAACUCCGAUUGCGAAGGCAGCAUACCGGCGCUCAACUGACGCUGAUGCACGAAAGCGUGGGUAUCGAACAGGAUUAGAUACCCGGGUAGUC
This 459-nucleotide ribosomal RNA is filed under the name uncultured bacterium. RNAcentral's name for it is "partial 16S ribosomal RNA". It matches the Rfam family "Bacterial small subunit ribosomal RNA", at positions 338 to 795 of the family's 1533-position model. The record is from RNAcentral.